This 492-nucleotide ribosomal RNA is filed under the name uncultured bacterium. Its description in RNAcentral is "partial 16S ribosomal RNA". It matches the Rfam family "Bacterial small subunit ribosomal RNA", at positions 28 to 506 of the family's 1533-position model. The record is from RNAcentral.
GACGAACGCUGGCGGCGUGCUUAACACAUGCAAGUCGAACGGUGAAGCACCUUCCUUUUGGUGGGUGUGGAUGAGUGGCGAACGGGUGAGUAACACGUGAGUAACCUGCCCCCUUCUUCUGGAUAACCGCAUGAAAGUGUGGCUAAUACGGGAUAUUCUGGGUCUGUCGCAUGGCGGGCCUGGGAAAGAUAUUGUUUCGGUGGGGGAUGGGCUCGCGGUCUAUCAGCUUGUUGGUGGGGUGAUGGCCUACCAAGGCGGUGACGGGUAGCCGGCCUGAGAGGGUGGACGGUCACACUGGGACUGAGACACGGCCCAGACUCCUACGGGAGGCAGCAGUGGGGAAUAUUGCACAAUGGGCGCAAGCCUGAUGCAGCGACGCCGCGUGAGGGAUGGAGGCCUUCGGGUUGUAAACCUCUUUCGCCAGUGAAGCAGGCCUGUCCCUUUUGUGGGUGGGUGGACGGUAGCUGGAUAAGAAGCGCCGGCUAACUACGU